This 496-nucleotide ribosomal RNA is filed under the name uncultured bacterium. RNAcentral's name for it is "partial 16S ribosomal RNA". It matches the Rfam family "Bacterial small subunit ribosomal RNA", at positions 30 to 523 of the family's 1533-position model. The record is from RNAcentral.
AUUGAACGCUGGCGGCAGGCUUAACACAUGCAAGUCGAACGAUGACUCUCUAGCUUGCUAGAGAAGAUUAGUGGCGGACGGGUGAGUAACAUUUAGGAAUCUGCCUAGUAGGGGGGGAUAGCUCGGGGAAACUCGAAUUAAUACCGCAUACGACCUACGGGUGAAAGGGGGCGCAAGCUCUUGCUAUUAGAUGAGCCUAAAUCAGAUUAGCUAGUUGGUGGGGUAAAGGCCCACCAAGGCGACGAUCUGUAACUGGUCUGAGAGGAUGAUCAGUCACACCGGAACUGAGACACGGUCCAGACUCCUACGGGAGGCAGCAGUGGGGAAUAUUGGACAAUGGGGGCAACCCUGAUCCAGCCAUGCCGCGUGUGUGAAGAAGGCCUUUUGGUUGUAAAGCACUUUAAGCAGGGAGGAGAGGCUAAUGGUUAAUACCCAUUAGAUUAGACGUUACCUGCAGAAUAAGCACCGGCUAACUCUGUGCCAGCAGCCGCGGUAA